GGGUUGUGAGGUUAAGCGACUAAGCGUACACGGUGGAUGCCCUGGCAGUCAGAGGCGAUGAAGGACGUGCUAAUCUGCGAUAAGCGUCGGUGAGGUGAUAUGAACCGUUAUAACCGGCGAUUUCCGAAUGGGGAAACCCAGUGUGUUUCGACACACUAUCAUUAACUGAAUCCAUAGGUUAAUGAGGCGAACCGGGGGAACUGAAACAUCUAAGUACCCCGAGGAAAAGAAAUCAACCGAGAUUCCCCCAGUAGCGGCGAGCGAACGGGGAGGAGCCCAGAGCCUGAAUCAGUGUGUGUGUUAGUGGAAGCGUCUGGAAAGGCGCGCGAUACAGGGUGACAGCCCCGUACACAAAAAUGCACAUAUUGUGAGCUCGAUGAGUAGGGCGGGACACGUGGUAUCCUGUCUGAAUAUGGGGGGACCAUCCUCCAAGGCUAAAUACUCCUGACUGACCGAUAGUGAACCAGUACCGUGAGGGAAAGGCGAAAAGAACCCCGGCGAGGGGAGUGAAAAAGAACCUGAAACCGUGUACGUACAAGCAGUGGGAGCCUCUUAAUGGGGUGACUGCGUACCUUUUGUAUAAUGGGUCAGCGACUUAUAUUCUGUAGCAAGGUUAACCGAAUAGGGGAGCCGAAGGGAAACCGAGUCUUAACUGGGCGUUAAGUUGCAGGGUAUAGACCCGAAACCCGGUGAUCUAGCCAUGGGCAGGUUGAAGGUUGGGUAACACUAACUGGAGGACCGAACCGACUAAUGUUGAAAAAUUAGCGGAUGACUUGUGGCUGGGGGUGAAAGGCCAAUCAAACCGGGAGAUAGCUGGUUCUCCCCGAAAGCUAUUUAGGUAGCGCCUCGUGAAUUCAUCUCCGGGGGUAGAGCACUGUUUCGGCAAGGGGGUCAUCCCGACUUACCAACCCGAUGCAAACUGCGAAUACCGGAGAAUGUUAUCACGGGAGACACACGGCGGGUGCUAACGUCCGUCGUGAAGAGGGAAACAACCCAGACCGCCAGCUAAGGUCCCAAAGUCAUGGUUAAGUGGGAAACGAUGUGGGAAGGCCCAGACAGCCAGGAUGUUGGCUUAGAAGCAGCCAUCAUUUAAAGAAAGCGUAAUAGCUCACUGGUCGAGUCGGCCUGCGCGGAAGAUGUAACGGGGCUAAACCAUGCACCGAAGCUGCGGCAGCGACGCUUAUGCGUUGUUGGGUA
This 1197-nucleotide ribosomal RNA is filed under the name Escherichia coli. RNAcentral's name for it is "partial 23S ribosomal RNA". It matches the Rfam family "Bacterial large subunit ribosomal RNA", at positions 1 to 1230 of the family's 2925-position model. Lineage: Bacteria; Pseudomonadati; Pseudomonadota; Gammaproteobacteria; Enterobacterales; Enterobacteriaceae. The record is from RNAcentral.